CUACUGCACGGGCCUGGCUCAACCCG
This 26-nucleotide small nuclear RNA is filed under the name Arabidopsis thaliana (thale cress). RNAcentral's name for it is "snRNA_09978". Lineage: Eukaryota; Viridiplantae; Streptophyta; Magnoliopsida; Brassicales; Brassicaceae. The record is from RNAcentral.